This is a long non-coding RNA of Carassius auratus (goldfish), 237 nucleotides long. RefSeq lists it as uncharacterized. Lineage: Eukaryota; Metazoa; Chordata; Actinopteri; Cypriniformes; Cyprinidae. The transcript has 3 exons. The record is from RefSeq and is a predicted model, not a curated record.
AUCAGGUCUCUGCAAAAUGAAAAAGAGGAUGCCGUUUCGGAAAUAUGCAAUGAUAUUAUCAAAGUGUAACGCUGUGACUACAUGUGCGUGGAUUCUGCUUUUUUUGUUUCCUGCUGGACACGGAUUAUUUAACAGCACCUCAGUUCAGACUGUUCAUCGAGGAAUGUCAGUCAAUAUCAGCUGUAACUAUAAACCAUCAAAUGACACAGAAAGUUUCAUAGUGGAACUGCAAACUAA